UACGUAGGGUGCGAGCGUUAAUCGGAAUUACUGGGCGUAAAGCGUGCGCAGGCGGUCUUGCAAGACAGAUGUGAAAUCCCCGGGCUCAACCUGGGAACUGCAUUUGUGACUGCAAGGCUAGAGUACGGUAGAGGGGGAUGGAAUUCCGCGUGUAGCAGUGAAAUGCGUAGAUAUGCGGAGGAACACCGAUGGCAAAGGCAAUCCCCUGGACCUGUACUGACGCUCAUGCACGAAAGCGUGGGGAGCAAACAGG
RNAcentral lists this ribosomal RNA (253 nucleotides) under uncultured bacterium. Its description in RNAcentral is "partial 16S ribosomal RNA". It matches the Rfam family "Bacterial small subunit ribosomal RNA", at positions 524 to 776 of the family's 1533-position model. The record is from RNAcentral.